GCAGUAUAAAAUACUUCCAUCCCAGCUAUGACGCCCUCUUGAAGUCGUUACCUCCACUCUACGAGAAACGUCUCCAACAUGAGAGCGAAGUGGAGGAAGAAGCGCAUGCGCAGGCUGAAGCGUAAAAGGAGAAAGAUGAGGCAGAGGUCAAAGUAAACUCCAACCUGUCUGCUGCAGCUGAGAUCCUGUUCAUCUUGGAUUCCUCGUGUCUUGUUAAAAGCCCAUCUGAGGUGACAUUCUAUGGUGCCUACCAUCUGCCAAGCUGACCACCUUGAUUGAGGAAGUGUCUAAUGCCUGGCUGCCCAGUUGGAGCUUUUUCUUGACCAUGUGAACUUUUUCUGGAUUUUCCAGACUAAUCAGUGCAGCGUCCUUUUGUUUAUACCUGUUCAAUAAACCUGGUUAAAAGUUUAA
Long non-coding RNA from Trichomycterus rosablanca, 411 nucleotides. RefSeq lists it as uncharacterized. The transcript has 4 exons. Lineage: Eukaryota; Metazoa; Chordata; Actinopteri; Siluriformes; Trichomycteridae. The record is from RefSeq and is a predicted model, not a curated record.